Molecule: long non-coding RNA, 2270 nt
Filed under: Sus scrofa (pig)
Lineage: Eukaryota; Metazoa; Chordata; Mammalia; Artiodactyla; Suidae
Description: lncRNA (ENSSSCG00035044704.1, ENSSSCG00055019803.1)
Source: RNAcentral
UUUUUUUUUUUUCUUUUCUUUUUUGGCUACCUGCAGCAUAUGGAAUUCCAAGGCCAGGGAUCAAAUCUGAGCAGCAGCUGCAGCAACAAUGGAUCCUUAACCUGCUGCGCCACGGUAGGAACGCCCAUCAAAGUCUUAACACUGUAGAUUUUAUCAAAUAUCAGUCUGAAAACCAGGCAUAGAAAACACUUCCCCCUUGAGUGCAAGGGACUCUGUAAGACCCAGGGCAGGACUGAAAGGAGCUCUAGAGACAAUUUGGUAACAUGAGAACUAAGAGCAGGAGUAGUAGUUUUUUUUAAAUCUUAAAUUCAAAAUCGGUUUUUUUCUUCUACAUAAUAGGGAGCCAUCAAUAGCUGAGGACAAGAAAAUAUGGUUGGCUUUUUUUUUUUUUUUUUUUUUUUUUUUUUGCUGUGCCCACAGCAUGUGGAAGUUCCAAGCCAAGGAUCAAACCUGAGUCACAGCAGUGAUGAUACAAAGUCAUUAACUGCUAGGCCACCAGGGAACUCCCACAGUUGGCUCUUGAACAGAACAUUCGAACUGUGUUAGUCCACUUUUAUAUGGAAAUUUUUCAGUAAAUACAUAUUACAGUACUACACAACCUCUGGUUGGUUGAAUCCAUGGAUGCAGAACCACAGGUAUGGAAGGCCAGCUGUAAAGUUAUACAUGAAUUUUCCUCUGCACCCCAAAUGCUCACAGCAUUGUUGAAUGACCAACUUGAAAGUAAGAUCAGGAGUUCCCAUCAUGGUGCAGUGGAAACAAAUCUGACUAGGAACCAUGAGAUUUCUAGUUGAUUCACAAUGAUGUGUUGGUUUCUGUUACAUAGCAAAGUGAUUCGGUCAUGCAUAAACUUUUUCGUAUUCUUUUCCAUUAUGGUUUAUCAGAGGAUACUGAAUAUAGUUCCCUGUGCUUGUUGCUUAUUCUAUAUACGAUAGUUUACAACACUAGCUAAAAUUUUUAGAAAUUUUCUUGGGACUCUCAUUUCCCAGACCAGGGCUUGAACCUGGGCCACAAUGGUGAAAGCCCCAAGUCCUAACCACUAGACUACCAGGGAACUCCCAACACUGCUGAAUCUGAGGUGUUCAGUAGCCACCAUCCCAGUAAGUUCUGUUGUACAGUGCUACUCUAGAAUUUCAUGGACUCUAGGUUAAGGACUCCUGCCCCAAAUGAACUCUACCCCUAAUCAAAUUGGUAUUUAGUUAUAAAAGACCAUCUAUAAAAGCUACUUGCUCUAUCUGAAUACAAAUAGGCCUCAAAGAAAUGGAGGAAUAGUAUCAGUAAUUCUGGAUAACUCUGAAAGUCUACCUACCUUUCAGUACCUGUUAAUAACCUAGAAUCAGAGGGAACUCAACACAUGGUUCAUCCUUCAUUCUUACCACCUCAAGGUAUGUGCAGUUUUGCAAACAUUCCCAUGCCCCACAUUCUACGUAAUAAUCCAAGUGGCUUUUUCAAUGCUAAGCCUUCAGGAACUUGUUGCGCAUUAGUAACAGCUAAUACUGAAUUCAUAUUAAGCACUUGGUAUGAUUUUAAGCAUCCUACAAAUGUUAGCCCAUUUAGCUGUCCCUCAGGGUUAUAAGGUGGAUGUAGUAUUAUCCCCUCGAAAUAGAUGAGGGAACUGAGGUUUGGGACUUAGUGAGAUUAAAUAAUUUGUCUGAGAUGAUGUAGUAAAUGCAAGAAAUGUGGUUAUUGGGUUAUUAGAAUUAUUAAUAAUCAUGGUUAUUAGAAUAAUAGCGGUUAUUAGAAUCUCUUGUCUCCUGAAAUAUGUCUAGAACAUGGAAAAAAUUGUCUUAGAGGCCUCUGAGGUCACAUGUCUCAACAAGGUUUUCUGAAAUGGACCAAUACCAGCCUGUGUGCCAGGAAGCUUCUGGGUCUGCACUUGCCACAACAGCUUGUGGUCCUCCUCUCUGGAGUGGAACAAGAAAAAGCAAAUUACUCAAAGCUCCUUCCACUCUCUCAUUCAAACUCCACCUUCUUCGUCCCCACAUCACUUUUCAUCAUCACAGCAGCCUGAACUUCUGCAACAGACUAAACUGUGAUCCUGGGCCAGUGACUUAACUGACACUCUGUAACAAGGGGGUGAUAAGAGUUCCCCUUGUAGCACAGCAGAAACGCAUCCGACUAAGAACCAUGAGGUUGUGGGUUUGAUCCUAGGCCUCUCAGUGGGUUAAGGAGUUGCCCUGAGCUGCGGCGGAGGUUGCAGAUGCGGCUCCAAUCUGGCGUGGCUGUGGCUGUGGUGUAGGCUGGCAGCUACAGCUCUAAUUCAAACCCUAGCC